RNAcentral lists this long non-coding RNA (5978 nucleotides) under Homo sapiens (human). The record is from RNAcentral. Lineage: Eukaryota; Metazoa; Chordata; Mammalia; Primates; Hominidae.
AUUAAAUCCAACUUUUAAACGCUUUGUGAACAGGCCCAGAGGCAAAGUCCUGGGCGCAAACCCACGAGCCGAGCUGCGAGGCUGAGAGGAAGUGCUAGUCCAGCCCAACCCCGCACUGGAUUUGGUGUGGAAACCGUCAGAGGUAAAAGGGCCCCCGGGCCGCGGUGACAGCCCCCGUCCCCAUAGGGCUGCGAGCCCGGGAGUCCCUAUAGGCUGGCGACCGGUCGCCCGCCGGACCUCACCCAGGCGGGACGCGGCAGGAGGACGCUCGCCCUGCCGGAGGGGCCGCCGCCGCCGCCCGAAGCGCACGCAGGCCAAGCUCAGGCGCCAAAAGCCUUGGACUUCGAAACACACGACUUCCAACAUCCUAAGCUUACCCAAAAAUUCUCGACGAAAUACGCCAUGACCAUCGUGCCGCCGCCGCGCCGGGUUCCGCGUCCGCGCCCGCCCGCCGCUGUGUAAACACGGCCCGGCCCCCACAGCACCCCCGCCUUUCGCCGCCGCCGCCUUCUUCCCAGAGACCGGCCCGCACCUUCCAGGGCGCAUGCGCCACCUAGCGGCUGCCGCAGCUGGGCGAGCACUUAGACGCCACGGCCACGGUGUGCGCAUGCGCCCUGUCCCCAUUCUCGGGUGUUGGUAGAUCUCUCUGCAUCCCGGGCGCGGCUGGGUUGAGUGUUCUCUUAGGAAUGGUGGAGAACUGGGUCCUUGAGGAGUCACCGGGGAGACUGCUCGCACUGUUUGUGGUGCGACGGGCACUGGCCCAGGGACAGAGGGAAGAGAAGGGCCAGCCAGCGGCAGUGGAGUCGGCAGGCUGGCUGCCCACUCGCUUUCUCUCCUCACAAGACUCGCUUCCCCGGCCUUCGAGGAUCUCGAACGGACUAUAGUCUGGACUCGCUGGGCUGGAGGAAACUUGGCCGCUGGCCACCCGGAGGAGACUGAGAAGCCUUUGGUCAACAGGGCGCCUUUCCUUGAACCAAAACAAAACUUUCCGAAGCCGGAAAGGAAACGCCCAGUGUCGCCUGAGAGCCCUGGAGCUGCGCGAGACCCAGGCACUGAGUGCGGCCUCGGCCUCUGACCUCUAACACGCCGGGAACAAACCAGCUGGGGCGGCCCGCAGGCCUGCGGGAGCGGAAUGUGACCCGAAACCGACGGACUUCCUGACCCAUAGUCCAUAGUUCUCUUCAGCAACUUGAACAUUUUGGAAAAAGAAACAAGUCUUAACAUGCCACGACCUAAUGGAAAAACUAAAUCCCCUUCCUACACCUUGCUUUCCAAAAGUUAAAAAAAAAUAGUUAAACGCUAUUAGAGGUCUCAAGUUCACUGUCACCAGAUCAGCUAGGUCCAGAAUCUUCAGUUCUUGAAGCCAAGCCCUACAAAUAGAUUUAUUGUAGCAUAUCACACCUCUUCAGGUGACUUAAAACAAUGAGAAUUCAUGAGAAAUUAUCUUCAUCCUCAAGUAAAAAUCAUGAGGUGCCUUUCACAUGGAUGAAAUUGCCCUGCUGUCUCAUGUUUCGUCAACAGGAAGAAAAAUACGUCUUCAAGUUUGUUUUGUUUGUUUGAGAUGGAAUCUCGCUAUGUCGCCCAGGCUGGAGGUGCAGUGGCGCGAUCUCGGCUCACUGCAACCUCCGCCUCCUGGAUUCAAGCGAUUCUCCUGCCUCAGCCUCCCGAGUAGCUGGGACUACAGACGCCCGCCACCAUGCCCGGCUAAUUUUUUUGUAUUUUUAGUAGAGACGGGGUUUCACUGUGUUAGCCAGGAUGGUCUGGAUCUCCUGACCUCAUGAUCCGCCUGCCUUGGUCUUCCAAAGUGCUGGGAUUACAGGCAUGAGCCACCGCACUCGGCUGUCUUCAUGUUUUAUCUUAUCUUCCCUGACGCCUAUAUUUCUGAUUUGUGUUCUUUUAAUUCAUGACAAUUUGUUUAGUCUCAACUUUUAUUUGCUCUAUGGUGAGAAUGCUUUAUCUACUAUUUGUUUUGCGGGGGCGGGGGCUGGGUAUUCCCAUCUUUUCUUUUUUUUACAGUUCCUAUGCUAGUUUUUAUUUUAUUUUAGGUCAACUUUAAAUAAGGUGAGUUCUUAUCUAUUUACUGGAGUUUUGUAUGAGAGAGGCCAAGAUGGUAUUCAUGGUCAGCAGAAACUCUCCUCAUGAGACAGGGUUAUGUGCUACGUGUGUGAAUAAACUUUAUGUUUUGCUUCUCUGCAGCCUCCUUGAGAUCAGCACCAAUGGGAUGUCACAAUGCAGACUCUCUCCCCCACUCUUUCCUCAACUACAGACUACUUCCUGAAAAAUAUGAUUAGUUUAUGAUAUUUCUUGCUCAAAUCCGCUUCCUCAGCUUUUUCUCAGUACCAAACUGUCCAGAAAAGUUCCCACCACCGGAACCUCAUUCCAUUGUUGCAAACAAAGAGAUUAUUGAUUUUUCAUCUUAGGCUAUGCACUUCACGUUAGAGUCAUGGAUUCUGCUGGCUCUGUACAUUUCUGUUUGAUCUUCACUGCUUUUGGCAGACUUUUUUUCUGUUUUAGUUUCAAAUAUCUUCUAGUUGCAUCAGAUAUAGAGUUGACAUUACCGUUUCUUAUUCUUCUUAUUACUUUUGGGUGGCUAGGCAGUAAAGACCUAUGUUCUUUGCCAUAUUAAUACCUAGAUAAGAUCAGAAGAUGAUUUUGCAUUAAUUCUGCCUGGCAUUUAGUAGACUCUUCCAAUCCAAGUCUGGGAAAUGUUCUUUUUUUAUUUCUUUGAUAAUUGUCUCCCUUUUAUUCUUACAGUCCUAUAGCUGUAUAAUUUUAGUUAUAUUUAUCUUCUGUAUCUCUUAAUAUUGCUGUACUUUUUCUUUUUCUUUUUUUCUUUGAGACAGAGUCUUGCUCUGUUGCCCAGGCUGGAGUGCAGUGGCACAAUCUCGGCUCACUGCCCAGCUCUGCCUCCCGGGUUCACACCAUUCUUCCCCCUCAGCCUCUGAGUAUCUGGGACUGCAGACGCCCGCCACCAUGCCCAGAUAAUUUUUUUAUAUUUUUAGUAGAGACGGGGUUUCACCAUGUUAGCCAGGAUGGUCUCGAUCUCCUGACCUCAUGAUCCGCCCGUCUCUGCCUCCCAAAGUGCUGGGAUUACAGGCAUGAGCCACCACGCCUGGCCUAUUGCUGUACUUUUUCUUUUGUUCUUUUUUUUUCUUUUUUGCAUAAAUUUUGGAAAAGUCUCUCAGCUCAAUUUUCCAACUCAUUAAUUGUAUAUUCAGGUUAGGGUAAGGGUUAUUGUAUAUUUAGCCCAAUUAUUGGAUUUAGUCAUUUUUUUUUUUCUUUGAGAAGGAUUCUCACUCCAUCACCCAGACUGGAGUGCAGUGGCGCAAUAUCGGCUCACUGCAAUCUCUGCCUCCUGGGUUCAAGCAAUUCUCUUGCCUCAGCCUCCUGAGUAGCUGGGAUUACAGGCACCUGCCACCACGCCUAAGUUUUGUAUUUUUAGUAGAGACGGGGUUUCACCAUGUUGGCCAGGCUAGUCUUGAACUCCUGACCUCAGAUGAUCCACCCGCCUCAGCCUCCAAAAGUGCUGGGAUUACAGGCAUGAGCCACCAUGCCUGGCCGCAAUAAUAUUUUAAAAUUUCCAUGAAUUCUGGUUGUGUUUCAUAGCAGCUGUCUCUUGUUUCAAUGUGAUUUACUUUAAAGCAACUCUGAGGAUCUGAACUAUGUUUAAUUUCAAGUUUUUAUCUGUUUCUAUUGACUAUUCUUUUUAAGUGGGCUAGUUCUAUUUGUUAAAUUUGGUGCUCUCUUUAGUGCUCUUGGUUUCUCCAAAUGUUUGUUGGUUCUUUUGUUGUUGUUGUUCCAUUUGUAGGAACAGAAUUUCAGUCUAGACUGAAAUUCAUAGCUGGACGCAUUUCCUCACUUCAAAUGAGAACUCAUGUUUACCUGGCAGUGAAUGCAAGUUUUGAUUACAAGAAUCUGCCUCAUGGGAUUUGGUAGGGAUAGGCAGACUCUGUAGGUAACGUCUCUUCUUAGAAUAGUUUCCUGACCCUCCAGGGUAUUGUCCUUUUCCUCUGACCUUAGCUUACUCUGGAACAGUAAUAUGUUGGUAAAUGUUUGACAGCCAGCUCUGGGUGGAGUGGGGGAAGUCCUAGUUUGCAGCAUUUCCUGAUUUCCAUGCAAUGUAAAAUCUCCCACCCUAGCCAAUUUUCAAGCUAGCAACAUAACAGUCACUGAAUGGGGAGUUGAGAAGAGAUGUGCAAACUAGAUUCUUAAGAGACUGACUUCAUUUAGCAUACCAUUGCUGUGGGGCUGCUGUACUAUGUCAGAAAACUAUACCCAUGACUCUCAUCUAAGCCCAAACAAUGGAGCCAGCUGCUCCAAGAGCAACUCCAGGAAUUGAUGGGGACUUAGGGGUAUGGCUCCGUUAUUUCUUCAGUUAACAAAGUACUUUGUUCCUUUGAAUGGUUUUAGGUUCUUAUGCCCUGCUAGAUUUCUCUACUGAUUCCCACGUUUCUUAUUUUUUUCAAAAAUUCCUUUCUAUAUUGUUUGCUGGAAGCACCUUUUCUGGUUUUCCUGUGCUGCUUUGAAUUUAUUUUUCUAUUUCUUUGUGAUUUCAGUGGAAUUUGGAGAAGGAAUGGCAAAGCGGAAGUCCUUCUCCUAUUUGAUGUCUUAACUUGUUUUUACUGGAAGUCACUUCCUCUUUUGUCUCAGAGGCUGAUUCGCCUCCCAUAACCAGUGAUUUUCCUGUAAGCUCAUUAUCCUGGAUGAUGGCUUGACUAACCAAGGCUACUGGCUGCUGAGGGGUUUCUGAGGAAACUUUGGUAGCCUGAUUGAGGCCAUCUGCCUCUCCACCUGCACUGUAGUUGUGGAGUACACCACUCUGUUCAUGGAGGCCAUGCACACUGGCCAGAGAAGAGCAGCCCAUGUGCAAAAGGAUCCAAGUAAGCAUUUUCCAUUCUCACAGGUCAAAUAAGAGGACUUCCCACAUUUAUUCAGAAGGUAGUUGAAAGUGGUCAGCCCCAGAUCUCCCCUAUGUGACUCUUUGGUUGAUGCUACUUGUACCUCAACACUUGGAAGGCCCGUUCUGGACAGGAGCAACUUUCACUUUACUCUGGAAACGUGGGCAGGUGGGCACAGAAUAGAGUGAAUCUGAGGCAGAAACUCCUUCAGGCUAACUUUGUGACGGACACUGUUCUAAGUCUUCAGGUGAGUUAACUCAUUUAGUCUUCAAGACAAUCCUCUGAAGUAGGUAUUUUUAUCAUCCUCAGUUUACAGACACAGAAACUGAGACACAGAAAGGCCAUUCAGCCACUCAGUGGUUGAGGCAGGACUGACACUCAAGAAGUCUUGUGACAGUUGUAAUGAGUUAGUCGUGAUGGUGGCUACCAGGUAGGUGUGUGGAUAGAUAUGUAGUGGCCUCUCCUCCGAUGGAAAACUCCCAAAGCACUGAAACAGUCUGGUAGCUGUAGUUGCCGAGGUGUGUAGGGGCAUCGGUGAGCUCAGCAGACUGUGUUCCAAGUCACAUUAAAGAGGCAGAUUUAUUGCAAGCCUAUCUCCUAGAGACAGAAUGUAUUUUCCAAAAAUGGGCAACACACUGUGUCCCAUCUCACAUGCUGUUCUUAUAAUAUAACUUUGAUACUACAUUCUUAUUUAGAAAUGGAAGCCCAUGUUUCCUCCCUUUGAUGCUGGGCAGAAUUGUGACUACAAUGAAAAUAAUGCUAUAUGGCUUUUGAGGCUAGGUCCUAAAAGGUAAUGCAAUAUACGUACAGUUCUCUUGGAAUAUUUAAUAUUGAAAUCCGACCACCACGCUGUAAAGAAGACUGCAGCCCAUGGAGAAGUCCACACAGCCAGAAACUGAGGCCCAAGGCUCACAUCCCCAGCUGAGCUCCUGGCCUACAGCCAGCCCCAAGGUGCCGUCAUGUGAAUGAGACAUUUUGAAAGUGGAUCCCCCAGGCCCAGGCAAGCCAUUCCUGACAAUAAAAUGUGGAACAGAGAUGUGAUUCCUUUUUAAGACCUCCCCAAAUAACAGAUUCCUAAGC